Molecule: long non-coding RNA, 142 nt
Organism: Bradysia coprophila
Lineage: Eukaryota; Metazoa; Arthropoda; Insecta; Diptera; Sciaridae
Source: RefSeq, a predicted model, not a curated record
UACGUGCCAAAAAGUUUCUAUACGAAACAAUUUCUUUGGCCAUUCAACUAGGGAAUGCGCGUAGCAUUCUUGGAACACAACCGAAAAAAGAAAAGCUUAACGAAAUUUAUAACUUAUAAUUACCAUAAGAAGGAACAAAGUC